CCCCCCCCCCCCCCCCCCGAAGGAGGAGUCAACGGCAGCACCGAAGAAACCGAAAGUGCCGGCGGCAGCGCGGGCAGGGGGGCUCGAGGGGGGUCCGUGGGGCCCUGCCCUGCCCGCCCCGCCAUGGCCGGCAGCGGCUCCCGGCUCCUAGAGGAUGACUUCCAGUUCAUCUUCUGCGAGGGCUGCCAGCAGGAAUCGCCCAACCUCAAGCUCCUCACCUGCCUCCACACCUUUUGCCUCAGUUGCCUGAGCAAAAACAAGCCUGUCAGGCAGUGCCCCAAGUGCUGCACGGCCAUCCUGCAGGCCAGCGUCAUGGACAACCUGCUCUUCAUCAACCUGCAGGCCAGGCUCAAGGUCUACAAGAAGAUCAUGGAUGGAGCUGACUUCUUCUGCAACAACUGCAAGAGAGCCGGUGAGUUCUGGUGCUCCGAGUGCCAGGAGUUUCUCUGCACCCAGUGCUUUGAGGCCCACCAGCACUACCUGAAGAGGGAAAGCCAUGAAGCCAAGAGGGUGAUUGACAUCAGGGCAGGGUCUGCUAAGGACUUCCUCAAGGCUACCAGAAGGACUGGUAACUUGUCCUGCUCCAACCCGACCCACAAGAACCAAACUGUAAGCAUCUACUGCAAGAAGUGCUGCAAGCCUAUGUGCUGCAUCUGCGCGCUGCUGGACAGCCAGCAUGCCUCCUUCUGCGACAUCCGCAGUGAGACCCAGCGCAGGCAGGAGGAGCUGGGCACCAUCAGCCAGGAGCUGAGGCAGAAGAGAAGUGGCUUUGAGGCCACCUACGUGGCGCUGCAGGAUGAGGCCGCCCGGCUGGAGGAGGCAGAGCGGGAGAUGCGGGAGCUGAUCCAGCAGCGCGUGGAGCAGCUGGUGCGGCUGAUCCGACGGGAGGAAGAGGAGCUGCUGGGGCUGGUGGAGGCGCGGCAGGAGCAGGGCCGGCGGGAGCUGAUGAGGGAGCUGCAGCGUGUGGAAGGGGUGCUGCAGCGGAUGGAGGCAGGCGAGCAGCUGGUGGAGAAGAUGAGGCUCUAUGCCACAGAGCAGGAGGUGAUGGACAUGCAGCCCUUCAUCAAGGGCUCGCUGGAGGAGCUGCAGCGACUGCAGCUGCCAGCGGCUGGGGACCGAGCACAGCCCAGGAACCUCGCUGAGUGCAGAGCCAGGCUGCAGGCGCUGGUGGAGCGUGUCACGGGGCACCCAGGUGAGGAGGCACUUUGCCAGGUGGGCUGGGGAAGGGGGGACUGAAAAGAGAGUUGAAGGUUAUAUCCCUGGUUAGACCAUGUUCUCCACGAGGUUGAGGUCUCCUUCCACAUGGUGACUUGAUGGACCUGUGCCUCCAGCAUUUGCUCAUGUGGUGAGCACACUCCAACCUCCCCCAAGGAUGGCUGGGUGUUGCUGUGUCCAUCGUUCCCAAAGCAAUGCUUGUCUCAUGCCCUUGUGGGGUACAGCGGUCCCCCAAACGCAGUGGUGCUGGGAGGGAACAUGGUGAAUCACUUGGGAUGGAGCCAUGCCAUGGGUUGAAAGACAGAGGAGGUGAGUGGCACCUGGAGAUGGGGCGCGUGGAUCAGGGGCUUGCUGAGGCUGGUGUUCACAAGGAGGAAGCAGGUGGAAGGGUUGGAUCAACCACACAUCCUCUCUGAGAAAUGUUUGUGUGGGUGACAUGUGCCGGUCCCUCAGGGGUCAUAACCAUCCUCCAGGCCUUAGUGUCCUGCCACUCACUGACCACUUCUGCUCCUCACAUCUCUAGUCAGUUUGUCUUUGCUCAGCGCCUUUGUCCACAACCGCCUGGGGCAAUUCCCCUUUCUGGUUGUUGUUUACCGCCUUGGGACUUGGGACGGCUACCCAACCGGGAAGGUGAGACGUUCCCCCAGAGCACUUCCCCCAGAGCACUCCCCGACAGCGAUGGCAAGAGGUCCAUGACCACUGCUAGGUUUGCCCAGGUCUUCUCCCAGCUCUUCAGCAGAAGCACCGUGGUGGAGAUGGUGGUGGUUUGGCAAUGGUGAAGGCCUUGGCAUCUGUGCUGCGUGCAGGGACAGGUUUGGUCAGAAGGUGGUAGUGUCCUUCCAGAAAAUAGGGGAGGGGGGGAAGAAAUGGGAGGAAGAGGCUUUAUGGGGUCUUCUGCUCCGUCCCCCUGCUGCUGUGUUCAGAUCUGGGCUAUGACCAGUGUUCUCCUUGGCCCUAUGUGGCCAUCCACCACUGAGCUCCCCAGGGCAAGCUCAUGGGCUAUGGAUGAUCCAUAGAAGAGCCCAAGGGGUAGGGGUGAUGCCCUGGAUGGAGCUUGGGGUUUCCUGGAGAGGAGCUGCCUCCCACCCCACACCUUCCAUCUCCAUCACAUGCCCCCCUCCCCACAACAGGUACCUCUGCUCCCCAGCAUGACUCCCCAUCUGAGGAUGAGAUCACCCUGAUCCAUGACCUUGAGCCUCCCAGGGAGCAGUGCCAACCACAUGGAGGUCUCCCCAUGGGGCUGCCUGCCC
Molecule: RNA transcript, 2465 nt
Organism: Falco peregrinus (peregrine falcon)
Lineage: Eukaryota; Metazoa; Chordata; Aves; Falconiformes; Falconidae
Gene name: protein PML-like
Exons: 4
Source: RefSeq, a predicted model, not a curated record